ACUCAAAGGAAUAGACGGGGGCCCGCACAAGAGGCGGAGCAUGUGGCUUAAUUCGACGCAACGCGAAGAACCUUACCAAGGCUUGACAUACGCCGGUAACCCCUGGAGACAGGGGCCCCCUUGUGGUCGGUGUACAGGUGGUGCAUGGCUGUCGUCAGCUCGUGUCGUGAGAUGUUGGGUUAAGUCCCGCAACGAGCGCAACCCUUGUCCUGUGUUGCCAGCGACUCUUCGGAGGUCGGGGACUCACGGGAGACUGCCGGGGUCAACUCGGAGGAAGGUGGGGACGACGUCAAGUCAUCAUGCCCCUUAUGUCUUGGGCUGCACACGUGCUACAAUGGCCGGUACAAUGAGUUGCGAUGCCGUGAGGUGGAGCGAAUCUCAAAAAGCCGGUCUCAGUUCGGAUUGGGGUCUGCAACUCGACCCCAUGAAGUCGGAGUCUCUAGUAAUCGCAGAUCAGCAGUGCUGCGGUGAAUACGUUCCCGGGCCUUGCACACACCGCCCGU
This 503-nucleotide ribosomal RNA is filed under the name uncultured bacterium. RNAcentral's name for it is "partial 16S ribosomal RNA". It matches the Rfam family "Bacterial small subunit ribosomal RNA", at positions 899 to 1397 of the family's 1533-position model. The record is from RNAcentral.